ACAUAGCCUUAAGAACUUGUUUAAGGUGAAGCCUGCUCAUGAGGAAUAAAUAGCCGCGGUACCCUGACCGUGCUAAGGUAGCAUAAUCAGUUGACUUUUAAAUGAAGUCUGGUAUGAAAGGAAAUACGGGGUUUCGCUGUCUCAGAAUUUUUCUUUCGAAUUUACUUAUUAGGUGAAAAGGCCUAAAAUUGAUAAGGGACGAGAAGACCCUUAGAGCUUUUUAAUAAUUUUGUUGGGGCAACAGAGAAUCAUUUAAUAUUCUUAAAUUUAUAAGACGGGUUUACCAUGAAUAGAUAAGCUACCUGAGGGAUAACAGCAUAAUCUUUAUUAGGUUUGUGACCUCGAUGUUGGACUAGGAAGCCUAUAGGCUAGCCGCCUAUAAGGGAGAUUCUGUUCGAAUUUUUACUCCUACGUGAU
This 417-nucleotide ribosomal RNA is filed under the name Nakamigawaia felis. RNAcentral's name for it is "Aglaja felis partial 16S ribosomal RNA". It matches the Rfam family "Archaeal large subunit ribosomal RNA", at positions 1905 to 2673 of the family's 2987-position model. The record is from RNAcentral. Lineage: Eukaryota; Metazoa; Mollusca; Gastropoda; Cephalaspidea; Aglajidae.